UNUUCGGAAUCACUGGGCGUAAAGGGAGCGUAGGCGGCGUGGUAAGUCAGAUGUGAAANCCCGGGGCUCAACCCCGGAANUGCAUCCGAUACUNCCAUGCUAGAGGAUUGGAGAGGUAGCUGGAAUUCUUGGUGUAGCAGUGAAAUGCGUAGAGAUCAAGAGGAACACUCGUGGCGAAAGCGAGCUACUGGACAAUUCCUGACGCUGAGGCUCGAAGGCUAGGGUAGCGAAAGGGAUUAGAUACCCCUGUAGUCCUAGCAGUAAACGGUGCACGCUUGGUGUGAGGGGAAUCGACCCCCCUUGUGCCGGAGCUAACGCGUUAAGCGUGCCGCCUGGGAAGUACGGUCGCAAGACUAAAACUCAAAGAAAUUGACGGGGACCCGCACAAGCGGUGGAGUAUGUGGCUUAAUUCGAUGCAACGCGAAGAACCUUACCAAGGCUUGACAUGCAUCUCUAAACACGUGAAAGCGUGUGACCCUUCGGGGAAUUUGCACAGGUGCUGCAUGGCCGUCGUCAGCUCGUGUCGUGAGAUGUUGGGUUAAGUCCCGCAACGAGCGCAACCCUUGUGAAUAGUUGCCAGCACGUCAUGGUGGGAACUCUAUUCAGACUGCCCAGAUCAACUGGGAGGAAGGUGGGGACGACGUCAGGUCAGUAUGGCCCUUACGCCUUGGGCUGCACACGUACUACAAUGCCCAGCACAAUGAGAACCGAUACCGCGAGGUGGAGGAAAUCUGUAAAACUGGGCUCAGUUCGGAUUGGAGGCUGCAACUCGCCUCCAUGAAGUUGGAAUCGCUAGUAAUGGGGCAUCAUCUACGGCCCCGUGAAUACGUUCCCGGGUCUUGUACACACCGCCCGUCACAUCAUGGAAGCCGGUCGCACCCGAAGUGCCCGUACCAACCGCAAGGGGGUAGGGUCCUAAGGUGUAGCUGGUAACUGGGAUGAAGUCGUAACAAGGUAACCAA
Molecule: ribosomal RNA, 962 nt
Filed under: uncultured bacterium
Lineage: Bacteria
Description: bacterial SSU rRNA
Rfam family: Bacterial small subunit ribosomal RNA
Source: RNAcentral